Long non-coding RNA from Perca fluviatilis (European perch), 385 nucleotides. RefSeq lists it as uncharacterized. The record is from RefSeq and is a predicted model, not a curated record. Lineage: Eukaryota; Metazoa; Chordata; Actinopteri; Perciformes; Percidae. The transcript has 4 exons.
GCCAGUUCGUUACAACCGUACAUGUGAUCCCGUUCUGAAACUGCUACCUACCUGCCCUCCUGCUGUGAUCUGCUUGCCUGCUGCUAGCUACUCUGCUCGCAGCACUCUCUCAAACUGACCUCCUUGUCUCUGCUAAUGCUCCUGCCCCCCGGGAACCCCCAGUUACCUCGCCUGAACCCUUCGCCGGGGAGUUGAACAAGUGCCGUGGUUUCCUGCUUCAGUGCCGCCUGGUUUUCCAACAGAAACCCCUAUCAUUCUCCACUGAAUCCUCUAAGAAUUGUGUUUGACCAUCCGGACCAUGCCGGUAAUGCCUCCAAGAGACUCCUGAAGCUGAGGAAGGGCACGGGCAGUGUGGCCGAAUAUUCAAUUGAAUUCUGGACGUUAG